RNAcentral lists this ribosomal RNA (719 nucleotides) under uncultured Staphylococcus sp. RNAcentral describes it as "bacterial SSU rRNA". It matches the Rfam family "Bacterial small subunit ribosomal RNA", at positions 56 to 757 of the family's 1533-position model. The record is from RNAcentral. Lineage: Bacteria; Bacillati; Bacillota; Bacilli; Caryophanales; Staphylococcaceae.
UGCAAGUCGAGCGAACGGACGAGAAGCUUGCUUCUCUGAUGUUAGCGGCGGACGGGUGAGUAACACGUGGAUAACCUACCUAUAAGACUGGGAUAACUUCGGGAAACCGGAGCUAAUACCGGAUGAUAUUUUGAACCGCAUGGUUCAAAAGUGAAAGACGGUCUUGCUGUCACUUAUAGAUGGAUCCGCGCUGCAUUAGCUAGUUGGUAAGGUAACGGCUUACCAAGGCAACGAUGCAUAGCCGACCUGAGAGGGUGAUCGGCCACACUGGAACUGAGACACGGUCCAGACUCCUACGGGAGGCAGCAGUAGGGAAUCUUCCGCAAUGGGCGAAAGCCUGACGGAGCAACGCCGCGUGAGUGAUGAAGGUCUUCGGAUCGUAAAACUCUGUUAUUAGGGAAGAACAUAUGUGUAAGUAACUGUGCACAUCUUGACGGUACCUAAUCAGAAAGCCACGGCUAACUACGUGCCAGCAGCCGCGGUAAUACGUAGGUGGCAAGCGUUAUCCGGAAUUAUUGGGCGUAAAGCGCGCGUAGGCGGUUUUUUAAGUCGGAUGUGAAAGCCCACGGCUCAACCGUGGAGGGUCAUUGGAAACUGGAAAACUUGAGUGCAGAAGAGGAAAGUGGAAUUCCAUGUGUAGCGGUGAAAUGCGCAGAGAUAUGGAGGAACACCAGUGGCGAAGGCGACUUUCUGGUCUGUAACUGACGCUGAUGUGCGAA